This 20-nucleotide small nuclear RNA is filed under the name Arabidopsis thaliana (thale cress). Its description in RNAcentral is "snRNA_06052". Lineage: Eukaryota; Viridiplantae; Streptophyta; Magnoliopsida; Brassicales; Brassicaceae. The record is from RNAcentral.
GCUUCUGAUACUCAGAAAAU